This is a long non-coding RNA of Stegastes partitus (bicolor damselfish), 216 nucleotides long. RefSeq lists it as uncharacterized. The record is from RefSeq and is a predicted model, not a curated record. NCBI's taxonomy places the organism in Eukaryota, Metazoa, Chordata, Actinopteri, Pomacentridae. The transcript has 2 exons.
AACGGAGGAGAUUUGUGCCUGUUAAAUUAUGGCAAAAAGGUGCAACACCGCUAUCUAUUGGUGCAGUGGUUAGCGUGAGUACUGCACAGAGGAAAGAGGACUUCACUGUGGUGUUGUUCUGAUUGUCCCGAGACUGUGACGCUAACUUUCCCACACCACUGCGGUGCUGUAUGCUGUGUUGCAGGAAAGAGCUGCAAUAAAACACCCCAUAACCCA